AACCUUGCCAAGGUUGGGGUCGAGAGUUCGAAUCUCUUCGCCCGCUCCA
This 49-nucleotide transfer RNA is filed under the name Hyphomonas sp. RNAcentral's name for it is "tRNA-Ser". Lineage: Bacteria; Pseudomonadati; Pseudomonadota; Alphaproteobacteria; Hyphomonadales; Hyphomonadaceae. The record is from RNAcentral.